RNAcentral lists this unclassified non-coding RNA (263 nucleotides) under plant metagenome. RNAcentral describes it as "partial contains small subunit ribosomal RNA, internal transcribed spacer 1, and 5.8S ribosomal RNA". The record is from RNAcentral.
UUUCCGUAGGUGAACCUGCGGAAGGAUCAUUAUUGUAUAACCGAGGCGCGAGGGUUGUCGCUGACCCGAAAGGUCGUGCACGCCCGAGCGCCCUCACACUCAUCCAUCUCACCCCUAUGUGCACCACCGCGUGGGUCCCCCUUUGGCUUGUUCGGAGGGGGGCUUACGUUUUCACACAAACUUUGUAUGCAGUGUAGAAUGUAUUUUUUGUUUUUGCGAUCACGCAAUCAAUACAACUUUCAACAACGGAUCUCUUGGCUCUC